UUCUUCAGAAAUGCGUAAAGUGUCUUCACCAAUGAAAGUGCCUCUUUCAAACUGACUUGGCCAAGAGAAGCUUGAAGUCUCAUCACUAUCUUCAACAAUUUCUGGAACCGUUCUUGCAGGUAAACACAAGAGAGGUUUAGGUGGAACCUGGAGAGCCUCUAGAGUCCCCUCUAACAUUUCAAUGACUUUGAUCAUUGCUGGACGGUGAGAUGGAUUGGUCUGAAUACACCACAGACCAACCAAUACCAUUUUCCUUGCAAUUUUCUCUUCUUCUUCUGUUAUACGAUCACCAAAAAUCCUCAUGAUUUCUUCCCUUUCAAGAUCCUUAUAGAUCCAAUCUGGAAAGUACAUUGAACUAUUGUUAGAUCCAGAAUGUUCAACUUUUUCUAUAUUUCUUGCUCCAAUCAUCUCAAGAACCACCAUCCCAUAACUAUACACAUCUGAUUUAUGUGAAACUCCUCCAAAAUUUUUUGAAAAGACUUCAGGGGCAAUGUAUCCUGCUGUUCCUCUCGCGUCCAGCAUCGACAUGAUGCUCUCCUUAUUUUUACAGAGCUUGGCAAGACCAAAAUCUGAAAUCUUUGGGCAAAGAUCUUUGUCCAGGAGUAUAUUUUGCGGCUUUAUAUCGAAAUGCACAAUCCUCGAUACACAACCAUUAUGCAAAUACUCUAGGCCACGAGAGACACCCACCGCAAUGUCGUACAACCUUUCCCAUUCCAUCUUAACUGACAUAUUCUCGGAAAUAAACUUAUCUAGGGAUCCAUUUGGCAUGAACUCAUAGAUGAUCGCUCUCUUGUUCCUUUCGUAACAGAAUCCAAGAAGAGAUACAAUAUUAACAUGAGAUGUUCUACUUAAGCUAGCUACUUCAUUGAUAAACUCUUCUCCAUUUCCCUCUGACUGCUUCAAGAUCUUUACUGCAACAUCUCGGCCAUCAUCCAGUAACUUUCCUUUGUAGACUGUUCCAUAUCCUCCUUUCCCAAGAAGAUGCGCAAAUGAGUUUGUCAUCUUCUUGAUUUUUGCGUAACUAUAUCGCUUUAACUGUACAACGGCCUCAACGUUUUUAUCAUCCCAAUCACUCUUUCUCAUCUUCUUUGCUCUCAACAUAAUCGCCAUCACAAUAAUGAUCAGCAAAAUUAAAGCUGCUGAGAUUCCUGGAAUAAGAUAAGAAGAAUCAAACUAUAGGUAGGUCUUAUGCAACGAGAGUUCUGUCACACAAAUUCAUGGAUAUGGUACCAGGUAUAAGCUUUGACUUCCAUGAUGAUUUUUCUGUACAAAAAUUCAAAAUAACUAUUGAUGGCCAAAAAAGAACAUGACAAAGUGAAUGACAAAAGAAAACAAGAUAAAGCAUACGUUUUCCUGGAAAUAUAAAGGGUUGAGACUGUGGGGCAAGUCCACUAGUUGUUGGAGCCACUGCGCUUCCGCUGGUUAUUCUUUAACAUGUGACAUAUAUUAGUUCACAAGAAGUAGCCAACAGAAAUUUAGAACAUAUAGCUUUGGAUCAUCCUAACACCAUCGGAACUAACAUAAUCCUAGAUCCAAACAUCUCUAAUGAAUGGUCACCUCUACUAACCUUGUCUUGUUGGGAUCGUAGUGGACGGGCAAACACUGAUGAGACGCGCCUCUCCUUUCUUGAGGACAAAGCAGGUGGUUGAGAUCGAAAAUUCAGUGGAAGUACCAUUGAUUACCGGCCAGACAGGAUAAUCGCAUUUGUUUUCUAUGGUAAAGUUUGUGGAACUGCUCGGCUUUAACGCUGUACGUGCCUCAACCCAAACAAACCCUUCUAGAAUAAUCCGAACAAAAGCAAAAGCAAAAGCAACAAGAAAAAAGUAUCAGCAAUAGUGACUAAACCAGAAACAUUUCCUAGAAUAAUCGGAACAAGCAUACCUAAGACGAUUGUUAGUGAAACAAGGAGGAACAUCAAUGCAACAAAUCCCUCACCCAUUGGCCUCAAGAAGAAGGAAAACGAAAGUCUUCACCAAAAACAGGAGAACAAGCCUGUAAACUGUUUUAGUCCAAAGAAAAAAAAGUCUGUAAUCUGUACAUUGACUUUGAACGUCCGAGGAGAAAGUUUUGUUAUGGAAGAAUAAAUUGGAAAAUUCAUGUGGCUAUAAAAUAUCUAAACAUAUCCUGUCUUCUUGUGUUUUCCUCCCCUUUAAUAGUUUUUUUUACUAAAACAGGAAAGUUAUAUACUUUAAAGAAAUUCUAGGUCAUCCAACAAUAGUAAUUUUUAAUAGUUUGAAACGUAAUUUCUGGUGUUAAAUAUUGGUUUAUUAUUAUGAGUUUUUAACUCAAAACUAAAUGAUAGUUAGUGGAUUGCUUUAUUUACUAUUUAAAAUCACUUCAAAUAUAUUAUAUUAUAUAUUCUCAGUAAAAUCUCCUGAAAAAUGAAAAUUUGAUAAUUGAUUUUGGUAUAUUUGCUCAGUUGAUAUUUUUGGGACAUUAUUUUCUCAGUUGUUCACCAUAUGAGAAAGAUAAUCAAUAAGCUAAGAGCUCUUCGUGAGUGAAAAAGAGUGCGCGACAUAUGUUUUAUUUUGUUCAGCUAGAUUUUGGUUUCUAGUCGUUUGUUUCGGUUGAAGAUGAUACGUGGAAAAUAAUUAAACUCCUCGGAUGGAUUGUAAAAAAAACAUUCAACUAAAAGUUCUGUGAAAUAAACCCGCAAUUUUAAUUCCGUCUAAAAAACUGUGACGAAGGAUGACAUACGUUAACGGUUUAUAAGUUUAGAGUUUAUAAUGUUGAAAACUUAGUUGAACAGUUUUUUUAUGAUUUAAAAAUAGUUGAGGGAUUUUAUCAUUAAAGUCACUAAAUGAUUUAAAAUAUUUAUUAUCAUUUAUACAUUGUUUUAGAUUAAUUUAUAAGUCUUUUAAACUAAUUUAUAAAUUUUAAUACAUUCUACCUAUCCCCAAAAAUAAUGCAUGAUUAUUUUUAUUCUCAUCGAUUUCUGAAAAAUACGUUAUAUUUUUGUUUUCUUGAUCAAUAAAAAUUAUAUUUGACAUAUUAUUUUUGAUUUAUUAUAUUACUUUAUGUUUCACUAGUAUCACGAAUAAUAUUAGAUUAUUAUAUCCUAAAAGUAGCAAAAAUUGUAAGAACUUAUAAAAUUAUUCAUUGUGAAACCGUAUUAAUCAUAUGUAAGAAUAUUAAAAUAUUUAUGAAGCUUUCUAAAUCGGUUAUAAAGUAAUGUAUUAGAACUUAUAAAUUAGUUUAAAAGGCUUAUAUAAGCAUAUCCUCUACAGUGUCAACCUGCCAGAAAGGCGAGCUGUUUGGGGAUGUUAAAGGGGAAGGGCGUGGCGAUUCCUCAACAUGCUAUCGACGCGUUUACUGAGAAAGCAACCAUACUUCAGCGAGAAGCCGCUGAUCUUGAGGUCGGCGACAUCCCGGAGGCUGACUUGUCCCUCUCACCACUUGUUAUUCCGUCUUAGUAUAUCGACGAGCGCAUUCUUGCGGGUAUCGACCUGUAUGGGUCCAAUCUCGGGCUGAUCGAUCGCUCGGUUGCGAGUAGUCUGCAGAUUCCUGGGUGUUCUGUUGGCGAUCUCUCGGGGGAGAUCCCCCGACCCAAUCCUGACGUGCAUGCUACCGUUCCUGGUGGACAAACCAACUUUACGACCGCCCCAGACGACCCCAUUUCCUAGGACCAGACUUUAGGCUGUGGGUCUCGUGUUGACGCGACUCCCACUAGGGCCUAGGAAGGGCGGCAGUCUAAUGGAGAGCACGAGGAUUGACUUGAAGACAUAGCUGGGGAAGUUCGAAGUCCUACUGAGAAAAACCGUGACAAUUGGAACAAAGAUCCGCCAGAGUUACAAGCGGAAGAGGUCGGUGGAAAGGAUGGGAGAGAUCCACAUGUCGGUAUAGAGAGACAUUGAAAUGGUUUGUGUACGGAGAGUGUUUAUGUUAAAAGGCAAUUUAUGGGUUUUAUUCAUAAGGCAAUUAGAACAAUCAAACUGUUUUUGUAAUUAUUCCAAAACGGGUAAAGAAAGUAUAUCGCAUUGUUUCCAAAAAACAACAGAAAGUAGAUUCCGUUUUUUUUAUCCACGUUAACCAACGAUGUUUGGGUGGCUGCAUAAAAGCAUAAUCUCAUAAGCAUGUAAUUAGCACACUCAAAUCAGAAAUUUUAUAAAAAUAACCAACAAAAAUAUCUCAAGAUUUCGAAAGUCGUAAAAGAUUCAGUCAGUCUCUAUGUUGACUUUAGUUUAGGAGCUAGAACAUUGAACUAUGUCUUCUUCAGAAAUGCGUAAAGUGUCUUCACCAAUGAAAGUGCCUCUUUCAAACUGACUUGGCCAAGAGAAGCUUGAAGUCUCAUCACUAUCUUCAACAAUUUCUGGAACCGUUCUUGCAGGUAAACACAAGAGAGGUUUAGGUGGAACCUGGAGAGCCUCUAGAGUCCCCUCUAACAUUUCAAUGACUUUGAUCAUUGCUGGACGGUGAGAUGGAUUGGUCUGAAUACACCACAGACCAACCAAU
Molecule: long non-coding RNA, 4452 nt
Filed under: Brassica napus (rape)
Lineage: Eukaryota; Viridiplantae; Streptophyta; Magnoliopsida; Brassicales; Brassicaceae
Description: long non-coding RNA (BNAP_LNC000999)
Source: RNAcentral